Long non-coding RNA from Paramormyrops kingsleyae, 2712 nucleotides. RefSeq lists it as uncharacterized. The record is from RefSeq and is a predicted model, not a curated record. NCBI's taxonomy places the organism in Eukaryota, Metazoa, Chordata, Actinopteri, Osteoglossiformes, Mormyridae.
UGUGUAAUUUAUUACAUCGGUAAGCUGCAUCCUGCUUUAUAGAGGAGAGAGGGGCUUCGGGCGGGAUGCUCUUCAUGAGUAGCAUGCCUGCGAAUUUUAAGCAUGACGUCUCCAAACGCAUCCCACAUGUUACCGGCCUUUAUCUCAAGUACGAGGCAAACAAGGUCAUUUAGGAAGGUUGGGAGGUUUAGGCAGCUGGUAUGAAUCCUGAAAUUGCCAUGCACAGCCUAAGCUCACUUAACAUAAAAAUACAUAUCUUCAACUAAACAACACAGAUCUCAUUUUUACCCUAUAGACAAGAAUUAAAAAUCAUUUGUACCUCGCAACACCUUUAAACAAAUAUUUGCAAAGAUUGUAUGCUUGUUGCAUGUUAUAAUUCUCAUUAGUUACCAGUACAUUUUUUUAAAAUUAAUAGGCACGACAAUAAUGUAUAUGAAUAUUACAUUAUAUAUGGUGUCCAUGGAUGGUUUCCCAUUAUCCGCGGUUUCGGUCAUCCGCGGUAGGUCUUGGAACAUACCUGUCGCUGAUACGGGGAACUACUCUGUGUGUGUUGCAUAAAAUGAACUCAAAAUGUGUAUAAACUUCAGAUUGUUCGAUGGGUGUUAUAAAAUCACAUAAACCUCAUUUUCUAGCUGUGGAUAAACAACUUGGUUUUCUUUAUACAGUUUAACAGGCUUAUAGUGAGCACGGUUAUCAACCACUUAUAAAAAGCUUGGGACAGAAUCAUUCCUUUACAAAUACUGUUUAAAUAAUUCGCAUAUAGUAAUCAAGCAGUCCGCUUACGGUGUUCAUUUCGGUUUUUUUUUUUGUACAUGACAACAUAUGGAAAUUUUUUAAACUAUGGAAGGCUUAAUUAUUAUUAUUUUUUACUUUAAGUGCAAAAAAAAACAUAUCUUACCUUGCAGUAACCCAUCUGCUUCUGGCUAGCUACCUGAGGCUAAUGCUGCGUGCACAGCAAACAUGACGGGAAACGGAAAGUAAUUUUCUCUCAAUGACAAAUACAAAUGGAAGCUUCUGAUAAACCGCCAUAAACGAGCCAACAACAUGCAGCAGCGAAACUAUCAUAAGCUAUAUUUUAUGUACAGUAUCGUACUGUAUUAUAGUGUAUUUGAAUUAUACACCGUUCAGUAAUUUGUGCAGUACUGUAAUUUGAAAAAGCUGUACUUCAUUUUGAAAGAGUUAAUAAAAUUAAGUAAAUAGCGACGCUAUUUAUAAAUAUAUAAAUGUCAUUUAAAUGAUUAAUCUGCCUGAGACAUAAAGAAAAAAAUGUUCAUAAUGAUCAUCCCUUUAUAUAGUGACCAAUUUCACUCACACAGACGUGAUCACUAAAAGCGAUUUCCACUCUAACUAUUAUUAUUAUUAUAUUAAAGAAACGACAAUACAGUUUUUGAGGGAGCCAUCUCGUCACAUCGCAACAUAGCGCAUUUCCUUUUUCCUGUAAAGACGACUGAAAAAGGCGGGGCGAGGGGUCUCAAAUCUUUCUUACUAAAAUUUCCUUCAAUCCAAGUUCAUAGGGCCUGUUAUGAGGUCGACUAAGUAUGAGUGUGACUCGUAAUGAUAGUUCGGAAUUGGGUCUUUGCUUGAGAUUUGGGAUUUUAUUUCAUAUUUUCAGCUUCUUUUGGCUACGUCAACAGCGAUUGGACGGUUAAUUUUCCGUAGCCAAUCAUAUGAAAGCGCGCUUAGAACCAGCGCGUUCAUGUAGCAGGUUGAUUAACCGGAGUUCCGUUAACUAGUUAACUAGUUCCGAAGCUUGUGGCGGGAGCUUCCGAUACCGCGGAACCAGUACCGCCAUGGCCGCAGCUGCGAGGUCUUUUCCGGUUAAAAGCCAAGAUGGGAAACAGCGUUACCACGACCUUCCUAAGGCUCUUGACAUAUCAUUUAAGAAUUGUCUGUCUAAUUUGAUGAAACAUAUAGAGAAGAGUAGAUAAGCUGGGAGCAGAGCUGGAAAUUAAACAACUGCCUGAGAUGCUGAAUUACCAGAGAUCCUCCAUGCACUGAAGGAGGUCGUGACGUUGCAGUGCUGAAAGCAGCCAGGGGAAGGAAGCCUGUGACGGGAAGAAGCAGGAAUUCCCCCGCUCUGCUUUCGGAAAAAAGAUUCCGCAGGCCGACCGGGCCAUUGCAGAAUUUGGCAUGUGAAGAUCAGAAAGUGGCCUGUUUGACGUCCAGGAUCCAGGCCCUGUCCCAGCUCGUCUGUGAGUGUGUGCAUGUGUGCAUAUGUAUGUCCUAGCCAGCAGUUAUAUUGGCAGGCAUUCAGAACUUCAGACAAUGAUUCCUGCCCAACACACAUGUAAUUUCCACCCAUUUGUCAUGCUGAAGAGGGCUGGACAGAAAAUAAAAACAGAUUGCUGUUUUUAAAAUCAUCAAAUAUUGUUCCAAGAUUUAAUUGAAUUAAAUUAUAAAUGAUGACUACACAUGUCCUGUUUGCAGUUUACUAAGCUAGAAAAAACAAUGAUCUUGAUUUAUGCAAAAAAUAUUAAACAGCUCUAAAUGUUGUAAAGAACACCUCACAGCUGAAUAUUGUAAAAUAUGUUGCGCAUAUACUGUAUGUUACAUAUAUUAUCCAUGACAUAUUUCUGAAAGCAAUCACCCUUUUUGUUGAGGUCUUUUAUAUGAAGUUUCAAAUUUCCAAAACAUGAUCAAAAAUGUCCUGAGAAUUAUGAACGCAGGGUCAUUUUGGGGUAUAACCUCUAAAAUGUACUGUAAACAUGCUGU